RNAcentral lists this ribosomal RNA (481 nucleotides) under uncultured bacterium. RNAcentral describes it as "bacterial SSU rRNA". It matches the Rfam family "Bacterial small subunit ribosomal RNA", at positions 28 to 507 of the family's 1533-position model. The record is from RNAcentral.
GAUGAACGCUGGCGGCGUGCUUAACACAUGCAAGUCGAACGAAGCACUUUAUUUGAUUUUCUUCGGAAAUGAAGAUUUUGUGACUGAGUGGCGGACGGGUGAGUAACGCGUGGAUAACCUGCCUCAUACAGGGGGAUAACAGCCGGAAACGGCUGCUAAUACCGCAUAAGCGCACGGUACCGCAUGGUACAGUGUGAAAAACUCCGGUGGUAUGGGAUGGAUCCGCGUCUGAUUAGCCAGUUGGCGGGGUAACGGCCUACCAAGGCGACGAUCAGUAGCCGGACUGGGAGGUUGAACGGCCACAUUGGGACUGAGAUACGGCCCAGACUCCUACGGGAGGCAGCAGUCGGGAAUAUUGCGCAAUGGAGGAAACUCUGACGCAGUGACGCCGCGUAUAGGAAGAAGGUUUUCGGAUUGUAAACUAUUGUCGUGAGGGAAGAAAUUGACAGUACCUCAGGAGGAAGCUCCGGCUAACUAUGUG